This 1837-nucleotide long non-coding RNA is filed under the name Homo sapiens (human). Its description in RNAcentral is "non-protein coding lnc-ERV3-1-2:2". The record is from RNAcentral. Lineage: Eukaryota; Metazoa; Chordata; Mammalia; Primates; Hominidae.
UCUGGCGGCAGCCGGAGCUUCUGGUGUAGUCUUCACUGCUCUGUGUCUUCUGCUCCUAGAGGCCCAGCUUCUGUGGCCUCGUUACCUGCAGGUAUUGGGAGAUCCACAGCUAAGACGCCAGGACCCACUGGAAGCCUAGAAAUGGGACCAUUGACAUUUAUGGAUGUGGCCAUAGAAUUCUCUUUGGAGGAGUGGCAAUGCCUGGACACUGCACAGCAGAAUUUAUAUAGGCAUGUGAUGUGAGAGAACUACAGAAACCUGGUUUUCUUGGGUGAAGGUAUUGCUGUCUCUAAGCCAGACCUGAUUACCUGUCUGGAGCAAGGAAAAGAGCCCUGGAAUAUGAAGAGACAUGAGAUGGUAGCUAAACAUUUAGGUAAGUGAGAGUGAAUACACAGAUGGCACAGAGAAGAGGUCAAAGGCCAAGGAGAAGGCCACAGCUUAAAAUGUGAUUUGGUAAGCUGUGUUCCAAAGGAAAUAGUUUCUGGAAAGCCCGAGUUUUUUUUUAUUUUUCUCUCACAUAGAACAUAUUUUGUAUUGUUUUUCAAUUCUCUAAGGAUUCCUCUUUCCCUUUAGUGAUCUGUCUUCAAUUUCACAGUGAAAGCCAACAUCCUCUUCAUGGGAUAUAAAAGACUGCACAAUCUGACUGGUUUUUUUUUGUUGUUGUUUUGGGGGACACACAAAUAUGCAUAAUUUUGAGAAACUCUAUGUUAAACAGUUUUUUAAAUUCUCUUUUUGCAUCAAGUCUGAAAUGUGUGAGUAGUGAUUUCUGUUCCAUUGGUUUUUUUGUUGUUGUUUAUUUUUCUGUAUAUUCCAUUCUGUUUUUACUACUAUAGCUUUGAAAUAUAGUUACAUAUGUAAGGCAUAUGCAGUGCCAAUAUACCUUUUCAGGAUUUGGCUAUUUUGGAUUGGCUUUUUCUUUUUAUUUGGCAGGACAGAUUUGCUGCUGGUAUUAUUCUCACUUGACAGCUAUUUUCUUCAGGACUUGGACAAUGUCACACAGUUAGUUCCCUUCUGGCCUGCAAAUUUUCUUGAGAAAUUCACUCAUUACCUCAUAAGACUAUGCUUAUAAAUAACAUAUCACUUUUAUCUUGCAACUCACAAUAUUCUCUUGUCUGUGACUUUUAAAAUUGUGCUUAUAUAUGUUCUUGUUGUAAAUAUCUUUGUGUGUAUUCUAGUUUCUUUGUUAACCUUUUUAAUUUUUACAUCAGUUUUUCUUAUAAUUUUUCAGUUCCUUUUUUAUAUUUUUUACCUCCACAAUAUCUGUUUUUUGAUAUUUUUAAUAUUUUUGUUAUCCCAAUUUUUAUGAUUUUUAAUAGUUGUCUGUGUUUCUAUUUCAUUCAUGGAGUAUUAUUCAAUUUAUGUUAACUUUUUAAAAUUAAUUUUUUAAUGGUUGCUUUCUGAAAAUUUUAUAAUAUCUGAUAGAGCUAUGUUGCCCUAAAAUUUUGUAUGCAUUGUAAUCUUUAAUUGAAAUUUGAACAUUAAAAACAAGCUACCUGUCACAGUGUCUAUAAUGUAGCUUUGUCCUGGCAAAGUCUGAAACCAUUUGUCUUAGCUAGAGAUCCUGAGAGUCUUUCAAACAUGUUCUUAGGAUGUGUCUUGUCUGAAAUGUUCUAGUUGUUUUUUAGUUAAAAGACUUUAUUCAUGUUUCUUCUUAAUAGUCAUCACUUGCCACAACUGUUCCCUGUCUGUAGUACAGUCUCUUUCCUGCUGUAACAUUUACCUUUGAUCUCAGCAGACUCAAAAUGUCAUUCCAAAGUAUACCACUGUUAAUUUCAGCACUUUAUGUCAUUGGAGACAGAAACCAGUGUCCGCCAAAGCACCUAAUAAAGCCAGAAAU